This 484-nucleotide ribosomal RNA is filed under the name Salmonella enterica subsp. enterica serovar Gaminara. RNAcentral's name for it is "bacterial LSU rRNA". It matches the Rfam family "Bacterial large subunit ribosomal RNA", at positions 57 to 580 of the family's 2925-position model. The record is from RNAcentral. Lineage: Bacteria; Pseudomonadati; Pseudomonadota; Gammaproteobacteria; Enterobacterales; Enterobacteriaceae.
CGUGCUAAUCUGCGAUAAGCGCCGGUAAGGUGAUAUGAACCGUUAUAACCGGCGAUACCCGAAUGGGGAAACCCAGUGUGACUCGUCACACUAUCAUUAACUGAAUCCAUAGGUUAAUGAGGCGAACCGGGGGAACUGAAACAUCUAAGUACCCCGAGGAAAAGAAAUCAACCGAGAUUCCCCCAGUAGCGGCGAGCGAACGGGGAGGAGCCCAGAGCCUGAAUCAGCAUGUGUGUUAGUGGAAGCGUCUGGAAAGGCGCGCGAUACAGGGUGACAGCCCCGUACACAAAAGCGCAUGUGCUGUGAGCUCGAUGAGUAGGGCGGGACACGUGGUAUCCUGUCUGAAUAUGGGGGGACCAUCCUCCAAGGCUAAAUACUCCUGACUGACCGAUAGUGAACCAGUACCGUGAGGGAAAGGCGAAAAGAACCCCGGCGAGGGGAGUGAAAAAGAACCUGAAACCGUGUACGUACAAGCAGUGGGAGC